This 276-nucleotide ribosomal RNA is filed under the name uncultured bacterium. Its description in RNAcentral is "partial 16S ribosomal RNA". It matches the Rfam family "Bacterial small subunit ribosomal RNA", at positions 28 to 321 of the family's 1533-position model. The record is from RNAcentral.
GAUGAACGCUGGCGGCGUGCCUAACACAUGCAAGUCGAACGCUCGCAAGAGAGUGGCGCACGGGUGAGUAACACGUAGCUAAUCUGCCCUCAAGACAAGGAUAACUGUAGGAAACUACUGCUAAUACUUGAUAAGCUUACGGACUGUAGAGGUCUAUAAGAAAGAUUUAUCGCUUGAGGAUGAGGCUGCGCGCCAUCAGCUAGUUGGUAAGGUAAUGGCUUACCAAGGCGACGACGGCUAGGGGACCUGGGAGGGUGACCCCCACCACUGGGACGU